This 207-nucleotide ribosomal RNA is filed under the name uncultured bacterium. RNAcentral's name for it is "partial 16S ribosomal RNA". It matches the Rfam family "Bacterial small subunit ribosomal RNA", at positions 568 to 774 of the family's 1533-position model. The record is from RNAcentral.
UGCGUAGGUGGUUAAUUAAGUUGGAUGUGAAAUCCCUAGGCUUAACCUAGGAAUUGCGUUUGAAACUGAUUAGCUAGAGUGCAGGAGAGGGAAGUGGAAUUUCCGGUGUAGCGGUGAAAUGCGUAGAUAUCGGAAGGAACACCAGUGGCGAAGGCGACUUCCUGGACUGUUACUGACACUGAGGCACGAAAGCGUGGGGAGCGAACA